ACGUACGCUGGCGGCACGCCUAACACAUGCAAGUCGAACGAAGUAGCAAUACUUAGUGGCAGACGGGUGAGUAACAUGUAGGUAUCUGCCCUUUGGCCUGGAAUAACACGAGGAAACUUGUGCUAAUACCGGAUAAGUCUUUACGGAGAAAGCUUUAUGCACCAUUGGAUGAGCCUGCACUUGAUUAGUUUGUUGGUGGGGUAAUGGCCUACCAAGACUGUGAUCAAUAGCUGAUUUGAGAGGAUGAUCAGCCACAUUGGGACUGAGACACGGCCCAAACUCCUACGGGAGGCAGCAGUGGGGAAUCUUGCACAAUGGAGGAAACUCUGAUGCAGCGAUGCCGCGUGAGUGAAGAAGGCCCUUGGGUUGUAAAGCUCUUUCGUCGGGGAAGAAAAUGACUGUACCCGAAUAAGAAGGUCCGGCUAACUUCGUGCCAGCAGCCGCGGUAAUACGAAGGGACCUAGCGUAGUUCGGAAUUACUGGGCUUAAAGAGUUCGUAGGUGGUUGAAAAAGUUAGUGGUGAAAUCCCAGAGCUUAACUCUGGAACUGCCAUUAAAACUUUUCAGCUAGAGUAUGAUAGAGGAAAGCAGAAUUUCUAGUGUAGAGGUGAAAUUCGUAGAUAUUAGAAAGAAUACCAAUUGCGAAGGCAGCUUUCUGGAUCAUUACUGACACUGAGGAACGAAAGCAUGGGUAGCGAAGAGGAUUAGAUACCCUCGUAGUCCAUGCCGUAAACGAUGUGUGUUAGACGUUGGAAAUUUAUUUUCAGUGUCGCAGGGAAACCGAUAAACACACCGCCUGGGGAGUACGACCGCAAGGUUAAAACUCAAAUGAAUUGACGGGGACCCGCACAAGUAGUGGAGCAUGUGGUUUAAUUCGAAGAUACGCGCAGAACCUUACCAACACUUGACAUGUUCGUCGCGACUCUAAGAGAUUAGAGUUUUCGGUUCGGCCGGACGAAACACAGGUGCUGCAUGGCUGUCGUCAGCUCGUGUCGUGAGAUGUUGGGUUAAGUCCCGCAACGAGCGCAACCCUCACUUUUAGUUGCCAUCAUUAAGUUGGGCACUCUGAAAGAACUGCCAGUGAUAAGCUGGAGGAAGGUGGGGAUGACGUCAAGUCCUCAUGGCCCUUACGUGUUGGGCUACACACGUGCUACAAUGGUAUCUACAACAGGAAGCAAGACUGCGAAGUUAAGCAAAUCCCUAAAAGAUACCUCAGUUCGGAUUGCACUCUGCAACUCGAGUGCAUGAAGCUGGAAUUACUAGUAAUCGUGGAUCAGCGUGCCACGGUGAAUGCGUUCCCGGGUCUUGUACACACCGCCCGUCAAGG
This 1326-nucleotide ribosomal RNA is filed under the name uncultured Alphaproteobacteria bacterium. Its description in RNAcentral is "bacterial SSU rRNA". It matches the Rfam family "Bacterial small subunit ribosomal RNA", at positions 29 to 1402 of the family's 1533-position model. Lineage: Bacteria; Pseudomonadati; Pseudomonadota; Alphaproteobacteria. The record is from RNAcentral.